Long non-coding RNA from Oncorhynchus tshawytscha (Chinook salmon), 2774 nucleotides. NCBI's taxonomy places the organism in Eukaryota, Metazoa, Chordata, Actinopteri, Salmoniformes, Salmonidae. The record is from Ensembl.
CGCACUUCACUUGAAGGUUUAAUAGGCAACACUGCAUCCUGCAUCAGAAGGUUGGCUGGUCCUCACUAAAGUCCCGUAGAUCACUUCAUUAUGCAAUUUUUGUGCAUGCAUAAGUGUUGCUCUCCACUUUCUGGAGGAUCAAGUUUUGAAAUCAGUGGAAUUAGAGUAUGAUAGGUAAAAAGAUGGAGAAAACAUCUGUCUCUGAAUUACAUCUUCAAACUAAGGGCAACCGUGGUAUGACAUUCCUGACAGGGAGACACGUCCAUCAUGUAUGAUGAUGUAUACAGAGGUUGCAAAAAUAGAUCUGCUGUUUCACAGGGUGUGAAACCUGGAACCAUCGACAAGAUGGUUAUAUCCAAAUUGCAUGGCAGAAGGAGUGAGAAGCACACUCUGCAAAGGAAUGGUUGGACUUUUGCCAGAUCUCUCUGUGCUGAAGGUAGAAGAGACCUACAUGGAUUUCCACUUGUAAUCACCAUUGGCAUGACUGUCGACAGGCCUCUAGUGUGACUCUGCUUCCGGGUUGGUGUAGAAGGAGAGGGUCCUAUCUUACCAGCAGCUGAAGCUUACUAUUAAGCACAUCAAACUCCACCAAGAUGCUCCACCAAAUCCAUCCCUACCUCUAGACCCGGAGGUCACAGGGGUGACCAGAGAGAAGGCAGACUCCUAUUACUCCAAAGUGUGCAUGCAGAAGUACUUGUCUGUGAAGCCACAGCACUAAACCUGUUUCAGCCCUAGUCAAAAGAUCCUUUAGGAUUACAAUAAAAUAAAAAAUCAUAUUAGAAUCCAAUACAAAAUCUGAAUUUGGAAUCUGUCCUAUAAUACACUGGGUCAAAAAAUCUGAUAGUGUUUUUCUAUUGGGGCGGCAGGGUAGCCUAGUGGUUAGAGCGUUGGACUAGUAACCCGGAAGGUUGCAAGUUCAAAUCCCCGAGCUGACAAGGUACAAAUCUGUCGUUCUGCCUCUGAACCCACUGUUCCUAGGCUGUCAUUGAAAAUAAGAAUUUGUUCUUAACUGACUUGUCUAGUUAAAUAAAGGUCAAAUAAAAUUAAAAUAAAUAAAAUUGGAUUCUUGUAUUGAAAUCCUAUAGGAUCCUAUAAGAUAAAAUCCUAUCCACCUCAUUUUCUAACAUUGCUUUGGGCACAGCCAAACAACGGAAGUGAUGGAUUUGACUUCCGCUUUACUGACCUACCAUAGCGCGCCAGUGGCAAACUUGCUCGAGUAAAUUAUUUGAAGGAGUUAAUUUAUAGAGUAUAAAAGUCAAGUAAACAAGUGCAAGUAUAAUUUUCUAUGUAUUUCAAUUUUUAGUUGUGUCAUGUAAGCAUUAAGGGCCAUCCACCAAACCAAUAACUAUAAUGAUAAACUAUAGGCUACAUAACUAGAAAACGUUGGUGAGCAUCCACACUAGAGGAUGGUUUAUCGUUCUACAGUCCUGAACCUGUCAAUCAACUGAAAAAUGCAGCCUACUGCAAGCUGACAAUUAAUAAGAUGGUAAGAAGACCAUUCAUGAGGUCUCUAACGUGCAGAUAAUGAUUCAGACCAUUGUUUUCAGGGUGUGUUCAUUAUCAUAGUAUCAACUGCAAAUAAUACAUAUAUGUACAUGUAUGCCUAAUGAAAAAUAAUAUAUUAAUUUAAAUGUAGCAAUUCACGUGCCUACAACAGCCACAACACACAGGCGGUGAUCCAUACAGUGAAGCCCCACUCAGUGAACUUUACUAUGGGCCCUAUUUACCUGGAAGAGAGCUGCGUUCCCACUCUCCUUGACACCGGUGCCAAAGUGUCUUUGCUAAAUGCAACAACAUACAACUCGUUCUUCCAGCACGUACCGCUGCAGGGUGCAAAUAUUAUGGGCCUGGACCUUUUUGUCAGUCUUGGAUUCUCUCUACAGGACAACAGUGGGGCCAAGAUACUACAUGUGUCUUCUCCAUGGCAUCAACAGUAUCAUGAGCUGUUUGUGCAGUGGUUUGGGGUGCCUGACUGCAUUCACACACAAACUGCUGUUUGACUCCAAGAUUCCUCCUGUAAUUCAACCGCUGCGUCAUAUUCCCCUGGCCCUCCGCAAUGACGUCGUGGAGGAUCUCCAAUGUCUCUUGGCUGAGGAUCUAGUCGACCCAUCAACGCCUCUCCCUGGGUGUCGAACUUGGUGAUCUUUCAGAAGAAAUCAAGAGGCAUCAGAACCUGCAUUGACAUGCAAGCAGCCAACAUGUCAACUGACAAAUAUCCACAAGGGAGGAGCUCACAACACACUUCAAUUUAUCAUAGGUACACUUCAACUUUGACAGACAAAAUGAGAAUAAAAAAAUCCAGAAAAUCAUAUUGUAGGAUUUUUUAUGAAUUGAUUUGCAAAUUAUGGUGGAAAAUAAGUAUUUGGUCAAUAACAAAAGUUUAUCUCAAUACUUUGUUAUAUACCCUUUGUUGGCAAUGACAGAGGUCAAACGUUUUCUGUAAGUCUUCACAAGGUUUUCACACACUGUUGCUGGUAUUUUGGCCCAUUCCUCCAUGCAGAUCUCCUCUAGAGCAGUGAUGUUUUGGGGCUGUUGCUGGGCAACACAAACUUUCAACUCCCUCCAAAGAUUUUCUAUGGGGUUUAGAUCUGGAGACUGUCUAGGCCACUCCAGGACCUUGAAAUGCUUCUUACGAAGCCACUCCUUCGUUGCCCGGGCAGUGUGUUUGGGAUCAUUGUCAUGCUGAAAGACCCAGCCACAUUUCAUCUUCAAUGCCCUUGCUGAUGGAAGGAGGUUUUCACUCAAAAUCUCACGAUACAUGGCCCCAUUCAUUC